GAUGAACGCUGGCGGCGUGCCUAAUACAUGCGAGUCGAGCGAACGGACGAGAAGCUUGCUUCUCUGAUGUUAGCGGCGGACGGGUGAGUAACACGUGGAUAACCUACCUAUAGGACUGGGAUAACUUCGGGAAACCGUAGCUAAUACCGGAUAAUAUUUUGAACCGCAUGGUUCAAAAGUGAAAGACGGUCUUGCUGUCACUUAUAGAUGGAUCCGCGCUGCAUUAGCUAGUUGGUAAGGUAACGGCUUACCAAGGCAACGAUGCAUAGCCGACCUGAGAGGGUGAUCGGCCACACUGGAACUGAGACACGGUCCAGACUCCUACGGGAGGCAGCAGUAGGGAAUCUUCCGCAAUGGGCGAAAGCCUGACGGAGCAACGCCGCGUGAGUGAUGAAGGUCUUCGGAUCGUAAAACUCUGUUAUUAGGGAAGAACAUAUGUGUAAGUAACUGUGCACAUCUUGACGGUACCUAAUCAGAAAGCCACGGCUAACUACGUG
This 497-nucleotide ribosomal RNA is filed under the name uncultured bacterium. Its description in RNAcentral is "partial 16S ribosomal RNA". It matches the Rfam family "Bacterial small subunit ribosomal RNA", at positions 28 to 507 of the family's 1533-position model. The record is from RNAcentral.